This is a long non-coding RNA of Ailuropoda melanoleuca (giant panda), 894 nucleotides long. RefSeq lists it as uncharacterized. NCBI's taxonomy places the organism in Eukaryota, Metazoa, Chordata, Mammalia, Carnivora, Ursidae. The transcript is spliced from 4 exons. The record is from RefSeq and is a predicted model, not a curated record.
GCCGGCAUGGGCCGCGGAGGCGGCGGGGAGCUCACCGCAAAGCUGGAGGCUGGAGGCUGGAAGCUGCGUCCGCGGACGCACGAGGAGCCGAGGCAGCGAGCAAGCGCUCUGCGGCGGCGGUGGACGCUGCUGAAGGCGCCUGCCCUGGAGAAGCCUCUGCCUGGUGCUUGGAAACGUGCCCUCCCAGCCUCUGCCUGGACCUUGAGGUCUGGCUCUGAGCUGGCCGCUCCUGCUCGCUGAGACCAAGCCCAGCAUUUUGCAAACUCUGCUCCCUUCUCCGAGGGUCCCUGAGCGCCCCUCCCUCACCCACCGCAGGGCACCGGCCACUGAGGCACAGACCAUGCACUGGGCUCCAGGAGGGACACCGGCUCAGCGACAGCCCCGGCUGGAAGCCAUGGAUGGGGACCCAGUUGGAACCACCGGGACCCGAUAACAACGGCACAAGCUACUCAAGGCACAAGGCACACAGCCACUGAUCCUUAAACCAGAAGCCCAAACCAGGAGCUCCCCUCCAAGGACCCCCAGAGGAGCCCAGACUGCAAGGAGCCACUGUGCCCACACCUGAGCGACCCUGAGCAACCGGAGCAACCCGCAACCCGAGCGACCGAGGGACAGACACCCGGAGCAGAGCAGACCCCCUGAAUCACAGAUGCCCACGGUGUGACUCUGAAUACACCCCAGCUUCCCUGGGCCUGGUGGGGGGGUUGCUCCAUGAACCUAAGGAAAGGAGGCCCCUGCAGGGAGACUGACAGUUGGAGAGCUAAGCCAUCGGACAUCUCAGCCCUGCCCUGGGAGUCUGAAGACACUCACCUCUGCGGGGCUGGGGCUGGCUGUGGGACUCAGUUCUGAGCGUGUGGGGACCGCCUGGGCCACAGGCCACAGCAGCUCACCUCC